AUGCUUAGGGCUAUUUUGAAGAAUAAUAAGAAAAUGUGGGAAGAAUGCUUGCCUCAUAUUGAAUUUGCUUAUAAUUGUUCAUUGCAUUCUACUACUAAGAUGUGCCCUUUUGAAAUUGUGUAUGGGUUCCUACCUCGUGCACCUAUUGAUUUGUUGCCUCUUCCAUCUUCGGAGAAGCUUGAUUUUGAAGCUAAAGAACGUGCUGAAUUGAUUUUAAAAAUGCAUGAGUCAACAAAGGAAAACAUUGAGCAUAUGAAUGCUAAACAUAAACUUGCUGGAGAUAAGGGUAGAAAACAUGUUGUGUUUGCACCUGGAGAUCUAAUUUGGUUACAUUUGCGUAAGGAUAGAUUUCCUAAUUUGUGCAAAUCAAAACUAAUGCCAUGUGAUGAUGGUCCUUUUAAGGUGUUAGAGAAAAUAAAUGAUAAUGCAUAUAAACUUGAGCUGCCUGCAGAUUUUGGGGUUAGUCCCACUUUUAACAUUGUAGAUUUGAAGCCUUAUUUGGGUGAGGAAGAUGAGCUUCCAUCGAGGACGACUUCAUUUCAAGAAGGGGAGGAUGAUGAGGACAUCAAUACCAUUGUUACACCCACAGCCCCUGCUGAUAUACAUACUUGA
This 612-nucleotide ribosomal RNA is filed under the name Triticum aestivum (bread wheat). RNAcentral's name for it is "partial small subunit ribosomal RNA". The record is from RNAcentral. Lineage: Eukaryota; Viridiplantae; Streptophyta; Magnoliopsida; Poales; Poaceae.